This 255-nucleotide long non-coding RNA is filed under the name Fragaria vesca (wild strawberry). RNAcentral describes it as "long non-coding RNA (FVES_LNC001506)". Lineage: Eukaryota; Viridiplantae; Streptophyta; Magnoliopsida; Rosales; Rosaceae. The record is from RNAcentral.
CCAAUUAGAUUAACACUACCUUCAGCUGCUCAACAUAUACCUUCUUUCUUGACUUUCUUAAUUUAGGAUGUUAUAGAAGUUUCUCUUCACAUUUAUUUCUUUCAUAAAAAAAAAAGGGUAUGAAAACUUACAAGGUGCAAGGCAGAGUUAUAUUGACAUUCCUCGUAGCAAACUUGAUCAUAUUCUUAUCUCUCAUAAAGACAAAACAACAAACCAUAAUCGAGUGGAGCGGAUUCUGCGCACCAAGGUGCACCU